This 253-nucleotide ribosomal RNA is filed under the name uncultured bacterium. RNAcentral describes it as "partial 16S ribosomal RNA". It matches the Rfam family "Bacterial small subunit ribosomal RNA", at positions 524 to 776 of the family's 1533-position model. The record is from RNAcentral.
UACAGAGGAGCCAAGCGUUGUUCGGAAUUACUGGGCGUAAAGGGCUCGUAGGCGGCCAACUAAGUCGGACGUGAAAUCCCCAGGCUCAACCUGGGAACUGCGUCUGAUACUGGAUGGCUUGAAUCCGGGAGAGGGAUGCAGAAUUCCAGGUGUAGCGGUGAAAUGCGUAGAUAUCUGGAGGAAUACCGGUGGCGAAGGCGGCAUCCUGGACCGGCAUUGACGCUGAGGAGCGAAAGCCAGGGGAGCAAACGGG